AAAACUUUCAACAAUGGAUCUCUUGGUUCCGGCAUCGAUGAAGAACGCAGCGAACUGCGAUAAGUAAUGUGAAUUGCAGAAUUCAAUGAAUCAUCGAGUCUUUGAACGCACAUUGCGCCCCCUGGCACUCCGGGGGGCAUGCCUGUCCGAGCGUCAUU
RNAcentral lists this ribosomal RNA (158 nucleotides) under Aspergillus collinsii. Its description in RNAcentral is "5.8S ribosomal RNA". It matches the Rfam family "5.8S ribosomal RNA". Rfam says of the family: 5.8S ribosomal RNA (5.8S rRNA) is a component of the large subunit of the eukaryotic ribosome. It is transcribed by RNA polymerase I as part of the 45S precursor that also contains 18S and 28S rRNA. Lineage: Eukaryota; Fungi; Ascomycota; Eurotiomycetes; Eurotiales; Aspergillaceae. The record is from RNAcentral.